This 206-nucleotide unclassified non-coding RNA is filed under the name soil metagenome. Its description in RNAcentral is "partial contains 5.8S ribosomal RNA, internal transcribed spacer 2, and large subunit ribosomal RNA". The record is from RNAcentral.
AACAUCGCGCACCUGCGGGAACCUGCGGAAGGAUCAUUACCGAGUUUACAACUCCCAAACCCCUGUGAACAUACCACUUGUUGCCUCGGCGGAUCAGCCCGCUCCCGGUAAAACGGGACGGCCCGCCAGAGGACCCCUAAACUCUGUUUCUAUAUGUAACUCCUGAGUAAAACCAUAAAUAAAUCAAAACUUUCAGCAACGGAUCU